RNAcentral lists this long non-coding RNA (438 nucleotides) under Felis catus (domestic cat). Its description in RNAcentral is "lncRNA (ENSFCAG00000049021.1)". Lineage: Eukaryota; Metazoa; Chordata; Mammalia; Carnivora; Felidae. The record is from RNAcentral.
GACAGUGUUGUACUCUGUGUCUUACCUCCUAGAAUGAUGAAUUUGUUAUUAAGGAGAAUCUCUUCUUGGACCACAAGCAUUCCCUGAAAUAUAAUCCUGCAAUGUGGACACUGGAGAUUAUAUUGUGGAAAGUUUCCUGGUUUUGUCUACUUUCUAUGACUGAAAGGAGCACUUACAAAGGGAUGCAAAAAUAAUCUAAGCAUUUGUUUAAAUACCUUACACAUAUACCUGACAAUAUUCAUAGCACACUUGUGUGCAAGGUCAGUACUAAGCAAAGGGAGAAGAGGUGAUGGAAUCUGAGGAAAAUGACACCAAAGCCCUCCCACCAGAUGCACUGACAUAUAAGCAACUUCUCUGGGUGAAGACCCUGAAGCCCUGAGUUUAACUAUGUUUUGUAUGAAGGAUGGUCAAGCCCUCAUAUGAUUACCACUAAUUAAC